Acanthosepion pharaonis is the source of this 99-nucleotide non-coding RNA. Lineage: Eukaryota; Metazoa; Mollusca; Cephalopoda; Sepiida; Sepiidae. The record is from the annotation of a GenBank genome assembly.
AUUGAGACACUGGUUUCUGUGCGAUCAGCAAAGUUAAGCAACGUUGAGCCUGGUCAGUACCUAGAUGAGUGACUGCUUGGGAAUACCAGGUGCUGUAAG